Oxyura jamaicensis (ruddy duck) is the source of this 494-nucleotide long non-coding RNA. RefSeq lists it as uncharacterized. The transcript has 3 exons. NCBI's taxonomy places the organism in Eukaryota, Metazoa, Chordata, Aves, Anseriformes, Anatidae. The record is from RefSeq and is a predicted model, not a curated record.
UUACUUAACACAUGGUGAAUUAUUAUUCAGUCUGUUACAAUGCAGCUCUUAAUGACAUUUUGUGUAGAAAGCUGUAGUAUUUGGUGAAGAGGCCAUAGAGGCCAAAUCGGGCUUUCAAAGUUAAGCUUCAAAUAAUUGACAAGAAGACAGCCAGCAUAAAUGUAAAAAAUUAUAUGUAAAUACUUGUCCAUCUCUUCUAACCUUCUUAAAAAUAAUGCACAUCUAUAUUCCUGAAAACAAAUGUGAAAUCAAAGUAGUGACAGGGCUUAAUCUACAAUAGUAAUUAUAAAUAACUAUUCGAUUUCAGUAAAAUAUACGGUUGACAAAAUAAGAAUGAAAAGAAUUCAGCACUGAAGCUUUUAUUUAUUAUUAUUAUUAUUAUAAGUAUAAUAUCGAAUCCCUACGGAACAUAACUGCUGUUGAGUAGAGGUUCUCAAUUAUAGCGACUUUGCAGAAACAACCAGCAAUUACCUCCUUCUUUUGAGAUUCAUUUA